GUUCUUGCUUCAAAAGCACACAUACUAAAAUUGGAAUCAUAUAGAUAUUAGCAAAGCCCCAUGAGCAAGGAUUACACAAAAAUUUGUGAAGCAUUCCAUAUUUUG
RNAcentral lists this small nuclear RNA (105 nucleotides) under Sorex araneus (European shrew). The record is from RNAcentral. Lineage: Eukaryota; Metazoa; Chordata; Mammalia; Eulipotyphla; Soricidae.